This 492-nucleotide ribosomal RNA is filed under the name uncultured bacterium. RNAcentral describes it as "partial 16S ribosomal RNA". It matches the Rfam family "Bacterial small subunit ribosomal RNA", at positions 29 to 507 of the family's 1533-position model. The record is from RNAcentral.
AGUGAACGCUGGCGGUAGGCCUAACACAUGCAAGUCGAACGGCAGCACAGUAAGAGCUUGCUCUUACGGGUGGCGAGUGGCGGACGGGUGAGGAAUACAUCGGAAUCUACUUUUUCGUGGGGGAUAACGUAGGGAAACUUACGCUAAUACCGCAUACGACCUACGGGUGAAAGCAGGGGAUCUUCGGACCUUGCGCGAUCGAAUGAGCCGAUGUCGGAUUAGCUAGUUGGCGGGGUAAAGGCCCACCAAGGCGACGAUCCGUAGCUGGCCUGAGAGGAUGAUCAGCCACACUGGAACUGAGACACGGUCCAGACUCCUACGGGAGGCAGCAGUGGGGAAUAUUGGACAAUGGGCGCAAGCCUGAUCCAGCCAUACCGCGUGGGUGAAGAAGGCCUUCGGGUUGUAAAGCCCUUUUGUUGGGAAAGAAAAGCAGCAGGUUAAUACCCCGCUGUUCUGACGGUACCCAAAGAAUAAGCACCGGCUAACUUCGUG